UGGGGAAUAUUGGACAAUGGGCGAAAGCCUGAUCCAGCCAUGCCGCGUAUGUGAAGAAGGCCUUUUGGUUGUAAAGCACUUUAAGUGGGGAGGAAAAGCUUAUGGUUAAUACCCAUAAGCCCUGACGUUACCCACAGAAUAAGCACCGGCUAACUCUGUGCCAGCAGCCGCGGUAAUACAGAGGGUGCAAGCGUUAAUCGGAAUUACUGGGCGUAAAGCGCGCGUAGGUGGUUAUUUAAGUCAGAUGUGAAAGCCCCGGGCUUAACCUGGGAACUGCAUCUGAUACUGGAUAACUAGAGUAGGUGAGAGGGGAGUAGAAUUCCAGGUGUAGCGGUGAAAUGCGUAGAGAUCUGGAGGAAUACCGAUGGCGAAGGCAGCUCCCUGGCAUCAUACUGACACUGAGGUGCGAAAGCGUGGGUAGCAAACAGGAUUAGAUACCCUGGUAGUCCACGCCGUAAACGAUGUCUACCAGUCGUUGGGUCUUUUAAAGACUUAGUGACGCAGUUAACGCAAUAAGUAGACCGCCUGGGGAGUACGGCCGCAAGGU
This 547-nucleotide ribosomal RNA is filed under the name uncultured bacterium. Its description in RNAcentral is "bacterial SSU rRNA". It matches the Rfam family "Bacterial small subunit ribosomal RNA", at positions 355 to 894 of the family's 1533-position model. The record is from RNAcentral.